This 18-nucleotide small nuclear RNA is filed under the name Arabidopsis thaliana (thale cress). RNAcentral describes it as "snRNA_04280". The record is from RNAcentral. Lineage: Eukaryota; Viridiplantae; Streptophyta; Magnoliopsida; Brassicales; Brassicaceae.
UUUUUUUAUCUAUAACCA